Molecule: transfer-messenger RNA, 338 nt
Filed under: uncultured Roseburia sp.
Lineage: Bacteria; Bacillati; Bacillota; Clostridia; Lachnospirales; Lachnospiraceae
Rfam family: transfer-messenger RNA
About the family: Bacterial tmRNA, also known as 10Sa RNA or SsrA, is named for its dual tRNA and mRNA-like properties. Its role is to liberate the mRNA from a stalled ribosome. To accomplish this part of the tmRNA is used as a reading frame that ends in a translation stop signal.
Source: RNAcentral
GGGCUUGUAAUGGUUUCGACAGGGAUCAUGAAGCUGGAGAAGCGAGUCGCACGGGAUGCGUCAAAUUCCAAACUUAAAUAUAAACGCUGAAGAUAAUUUAGCAUACGCUGCCUAGUUGCAGCAGUCUGACCUAGUGCACCUACACAUUAGGACCCAGGCUUCGACUAUGUAGGAAACGACACCGGCUAAGCUUUGCACCGGCGGGCGUAUCAUGAAGCUACUGAAGCGGGCAUCCUGCCUAUGGGAGGUUCGCAGAGGGAAUGUUAAAUUAUAGGCUACACUCGUAGAAGGGCAGUGAAUUGGUUUUUGGACACGGGUUCGAUUCCCGUCAGGUCCAC